Molecule: long non-coding RNA, 509 nt
Organism: Lycium barbarum (goji berry)
Lineage: Eukaryota; Viridiplantae; Streptophyta; Magnoliopsida; Solanales; Solanaceae
Exons: 2
Source: RefSeq, a predicted model, not a curated record
CUUCUGAAUUAGAUCUCUUUUAAACCAUUUUUUCCUGAUAAAAAUGAGCCCAAAGCACCUUACCUGACCCACCUUUAUAUAUAUCACCCCAAACCCCUAUUUUCUUAUUCAUUUUCAACGACACAAACCCUAGCCGCAUUGUCGAUGCUCUGCUCUCUCUUCUCCACUCUGUUCCGGCCAAGAAUGGCAGUAAGUGCUACCGCUAAACUCAAGUCUUGGUCGGCCAUUUCGGAGUAUCAGGUUGGGUCUGCUUCCAUAUCUCAUGGUUGAUCGUCGUCGUCAGCAUUGUUACGAGUUUCCAGGAUGAGCACGAGACGUUCGCUGCCUUGAAGACUCUUCCUAUUUUAUGUCUUACUAUUGCUAUUCUGAGACAUAGACAGAUUUAUGUAAUAUUAUUCCAGACUUGUAUAUUUUUCUUUAGAUGCUUUUGUAUGGCUUAGACCAGACUCUGGGGCUAAUUGUCCUUAUUCUGCACUAUUCUAUCAUAUAUCAUCGUGAGACUUACGUAA